Molecule: ribosomal RNA, 513 nt
Filed under: uncultured bacterium
Lineage: Bacteria
Description: partial 16S ribosomal RNA
Rfam family: Bacterial small subunit ribosomal RNA
Source: RNAcentral
GACGAACGCUGGCGGCAUGCCUAAUACAUGCAAGUCGAGCGAACAGAUGAAGGGCUUGCACUUCUGACGUUAGCGGCGAACGGGUGAGUAACACGUAAGGAAUCUACCUAUAAGCGGGGGAUAACAUUCGGAAACGGGUGCUAAUACCGCAUAAUAUCUUCUUCCGCAUGGAAGAAGAUUGAAAGACGGCUCUGCUGUCACUUAUAGAUGACCUUGCGGUGCAUUAGUUAGUUGGUGGGGUAAUGGCCUACCAAGACGAUGAUGCAUAGCCGACAUGAGAGGGUGAUCGGCCACAUUGGGACUGAGACACGGCCCAAACUCCUACGGGAGGCAGCAGUAGGGAAUCUUCCGCAAUGGGCGAAAGCCUGACGGAGCAAUGCCGCGUGAGUGAAGAAGGCCUUCGGGUCGUAAAACUCUGUUAUAAGAGAAGAACAAAUUGUAGAGUAACUGCUACAGUCUUGACGGUAUCUUAUCAGAAAGCCACGGCUAACUACGUGCCAGCCGCCGCGGUAA